UUUAACGUCUGGUUAAUUAUGCUAUUACAACGAUGAGAAAUAUUACAUAGACGAUUCUACAGCCAACAAUUCUACCAUCUUGUGUGAAUACACGUCUGACUGCGCCACUCCGAGCCGCCUUAUGAGAUCCAUGUCCGAUGGUACGCCCUGCACCAUGCUGAAGAUCUCUUGUAACCUAUUUUCUCCAUCUGCAUAAUUUGGAUUUUUUGGGGUUUGAACUCAGACCUCUUGGUAUAGAAGCAUUAAUGAACCCUUAAUCAAACCGGUGGACUAAGGGGGCUUCCACUAAUAAUCAAACAAUAAGUAAAUGGGGGAUAUGAGCUCCAUUGAGCCUAUCCACAUAGGCAUAUUAAAUCAACCAAUGAAAACAACAAGAUAUGCCACUUCAGCUUAAUUGCAAUGGAAUCGUUCUUUUUCAUUAUGCCAUUGAAACACGAGUGUGCAGUAUCUCAGCAAUAAAUUUUCUAAAAAGUCCAUUCAGUUUCCUUCGCAAGACGAUACCUAUUCAUUUUCUGUAACGACGGAGAUUGAUGUUCCUUUUUUUAUAGGCCAUAAAAAAAGCUCAAGGCCUUGCGGAUUCACAAUCUCCUCUCCUCCAAAGCUUACGCCGCUAUGGCCUCUUCUCUUUCAUAUCCAUUUCUUCAUUUCUCUUCCUCUCCGGUGAAGAAGAAACUCUUUUUUAUCUUCCAUGUUCUCUGUCUGUUGAUUCGCUACUCCAGUCUUACUCUACCAUCAACAUCUUCGCCAGCCACAAUAGCCAUCUCCCUGGAUAAAUCGGAAAAGCUAUUGGUGCGCCGUCGAAGGAUUGUUGGGAGUAAACUUUCAAUGGUGUAUCUUCCUUCUCUUAUCUCUGUUAACCUGAUUACAUAGCCUUCUAGAUCUUUUUCUUUGGUUGUGAUGAAUUUUAGGGAUUCCUUGUGAAGAUCUAUGAUAUUAACAAGCUUAUCAGGCGGAGAAGCUGCUUCUAUAUUUGAAUACGAUGUUGUUAAAGCCCGAAUUUUCUUUUUUAUCUGGUUGUUUUUGAAUUCCCAAAAUUUGAUUGAGCUUUGUUUUGUUUUUUUUAUUUUGUCAUAAGGCGAGAUUACAAGUUUGGAUCAGACAAGAUCAUAAUUGAUGGGCUACAGAUAUUCAAAAUGAUCUGAUUCUUUUUCUUUAAGUUCAACAUCUAAUGGCUCUAUCUCCCCACUUCCCCUGAUUCGAUUGUAUGUUUGUAUUAUCUGUAAUGGAAGUGUCCAUCUCUUGCCAGGGAUCACGUUUACAUGGUAUCUUCUCAUUUACACAAAUAACCAUUCCACAAGAAACUUUUAAUCUUUCCACCGAUUGCUGUAACUUUUAUACAAAUUGAUUACUAUGAAACAUGAUGAUUCAAUGCAUCUAUCACGGACUAUACUGCAGGAAGCAAUCGUUUGUGUAGAAGACAAGCAAAUGAGUGAUUUUUUCUUCCAUCUCAUCUAAUCAGGAACCAAAGGCUUCCAAGCUCCAAAGGUACAUCAAGUGUAACUAUAUGAAUCUUCUACCUUGAGGCUAAAGAUGCAUGCCUGGAUUACUCAUUAGAACUUUCAGGAUGGAAAAUCUAAUUAUUUGGCGCUGUUCUUGGCAGAAAUAACUUGUGCAGGAUUCCUUCAGACGUGUGGUCAGCAUAAGUUUAACUUAGUAUUUGUUAGGAUUGCAGAGCCUGGUUUUUUAAUCCUCGCUCCUUUAUACCUAAGUUUCUGCUCUAUUGAACAUAAUUACAUUUCCUUUUCCUGGACAUCGUGGGAUCAUAAAGAAUUCAAGGUUAAUAUCAAUGGUUUAGUUGAGACUGCACCAGUUCCUGAAGAAGUCUAGAAUAUCCACUACGGUACUCCUUGGCCCGGUAAUAUUGUGCGUGAUCAUCCUGCCAUGAACAAGGUCUUCCUUGGAAACAAAGGUCUUAACGAUGUAGAAAAUGACGAGCUGCCUAGGCUGGUUUAUGUUCUCGUGAGGAGAGAGCCCAACUGACCAUCAUAAUAAGGAUGAAGAAAAUAAAUUUAUUGGUUUUUCAAGGAGCUAGAAAACAGAGAAUAUUAGUUUGGAAUCUGGGACAUACACAGCCGGCUUUGCAACUCUUGAAGUAGUGUUCAUGAACAUUGCUAGACGUGCUAAACUCAGUGGUGAAUCUAGAUUUAUUUUUCUCUGGGUGCACAAUGUGUAGAAAACAAAAUUGUGGGUGCAAUAAAGAGAAUUCUCUAUUUUGUCUAGCAUUUUUCUCUCAUUUUACCACACAAAAUAAAGAAAAAUUAAAAGAUUAUGGGUGCACAUGCCCACAUUGUCUUCAAUGUGGCUUCGCCCUAAACCAGAAAGUGCAAACGCUGAACGGCUGAAGGAACCAUGGUCACUCUCGAUUUUGAAUCUGGCAUUUCACUAAAGGUUGAAUAUUAGUGGCAACAAGACGGGACUUAAUGUUUCGUUGAUUGGAAUGUGAACAAAGAUUUUGGAUCAACCUUUCCUUAUGGGGAUUAGAAAGUUAUACAGAUAACUCACAUUGAGUUUUGUUUUCGUUCAAUAUGGCAAAAGUUAGCGCGAUGUAUAUAUAUGUUUCAAACAAGUUCGUGACUGAUUGAUUACGUUGCUGACAUGUGAGCAAUCUUUUGAUGAUUGGUUUGCCUUUCCCAACAGAUUUGUGAACAUAUAUUAAUAUUAUGUCAAACAAUCCACCAAACUUUUUUAUUUUUAGAUAAUUAUUCAAAAUUAUAUUUGACAAAAUGUAUUCCAAGUUAUAUAAGCGGCAUGCACUUUUUCAGUAUUGUUGAUAUAUAUCUUCUCUUUGUAUUUGAGAGAAUGAUACUUCAUAAAUUUUACAC
Brassica napus (rape) is the source of this 2822-nucleotide long non-coding RNA. RefSeq lists it as uncharacterized. The transcript has 3 exons. The record is from RefSeq and is a predicted model, not a curated record. NCBI's taxonomy places the organism in Eukaryota, Viridiplantae, Streptophyta, Magnoliopsida, Brassicales, Brassicaceae.